UGAAAUCUUCCCACACAUUCGGCAUGAUGUUGACACUGCCUUCUUCUCUUCAUAUGGAUGGACACUGGCUUGAUGAGACCCAGAAGGCUUUUCUCAUCCUGCCGUCCUUAAGCCAAUUCUUCAAGGUUUGCCAGGAUUCACUGCUUCCACUUAGGCCUUCUGACACCUAUUUCGUAUCUGAUACAAGCAUGGUUUAUCAUUGAGAUAGAUUACCCUCAUUCGUGGGACAAUUACAGCCAUUCAAAGCACCAUUAAAUCAUGGAGAUUCACCUGCCUCUGCCUGUAACACCGUGCCUGGCCAGCAUUCCAGUAACAAGAACUACUCAUGACAAUGAGGCAUCUUCAUGAAGAUAUCUUUCAAGACCACCCAUAUACUUUAUUUAGAGGUCCAAAACUUCGAAGACUUCAUGUUUAUGCUGAUCCAUAAUUCUGCCAAGAAAGAACACAGGAAAAAGAGUGAUUUUGAUCGUGUAAAAAAUGGUAGUAGAGCUAAAUAUAGCUGCAAAGGAAGCUGAGAAAUUUAAUUUCUACCCGAGCAUCCAUUUCCCUGCUACAUCCAUGAA
This is a long non-coding RNA of Meriones unguiculatus (Mongolian gerbil), 563 nucleotides long. RefSeq lists it as uncharacterized. NCBI's taxonomy places the organism in Eukaryota, Metazoa, Chordata, Mammalia, Rodentia, Muridae. The record is from RefSeq and is a predicted model, not a curated record. The transcript is spliced from 3 exons.